RNAcentral lists this ribosomal RNA (446 nucleotides) under uncultured bacterium. RNAcentral's name for it is "partial 16S ribosomal RNA". It matches the Rfam family "Bacterial small subunit ribosomal RNA", at positions 338 to 795 of the family's 1533-position model. The record is from RNAcentral.
CCUACGGGAGGCAGCAGUCGAGAAUCAUUCACAAUGGGGGAAACCCUGAUGGUGCGACGCCGCGUGGGGGAAUGAAGGUCUUCGGAUUGUAAACCCCUGUCAUGUGGGAGCAAAUUAAAAAGAUAGUACCACAAGAGGAAGAGACGGCUAACUCUGUGCCAGCAGCCGCGGUAAUACAGAGGGCUCAAGCGUUGUUCGGAAUCACUGGGCGUAAAGCGUGCGUAGGCUGUUUCGUAAGUCGUGUGUGAAAGGCGCGGGCUCAACCCGCGGACGGCACAUGAUACUGCGAGACUAGAGUGAUGGAGGGGGAACCGGAAUUCGCGGUGUAGCAGUGAAAUGCGUAGAUAUCGAGAGGAACACUCGUGGCGAAGGCGGGUUCCUGGACAUUAACUGACGCUGAGGCACGAAGGCCAGGGGAGCGAAAGGGAUUAGAUACCCGAGUAGUC